UACGUAGGGCGCAAGCGUUAUCCGGAAUUAUUGGGCGUAAAGAGCUCGUAGGCGGUUUGUCGCGUCUGCCGUGAAAACUUGGGGCUCAACCCCAAGCCUGCGGUCGAUACGGGCAGGCUCGAGUUCGGUAGGGGAGACUGGAAUUCCUGGUGUAGCGGUGAAAUGCGCAGAUAUCAGGAGGAACACCGAUGGCGAAGGCAGGUCUCUGGGCCGAUACUGACGCUGAGGAGCGAAAGCGUGGGGAGCGAACAGG
This 253-nucleotide ribosomal RNA is filed under the name uncultured bacterium. Its description in RNAcentral is "partial 16S ribosomal RNA". It matches the Rfam family "Bacterial small subunit ribosomal RNA", at positions 524 to 776 of the family's 1533-position model. The record is from RNAcentral.